This 766-nucleotide ribosomal RNA is filed under the name uncultured Gammaproteobacteria bacterium. RNAcentral describes it as "bacterial SSU rRNA". It matches the Rfam family "Bacterial small subunit ribosomal RNA", at positions 8 to 772 of the family's 1533-position model. Lineage: Bacteria; Pseudomonadati; Pseudomonadota; Gammaproteobacteria. The record is from RNAcentral.
AUAGUUUGAUCAUGGCUCAGAUUGAACGCUGGCGGCAGGCCUAACACAUGCAAGUCGAGCGAGAAAGCCCUUCGGGGUGAGUACAGCGGCGGACGGGUGAGUAACGCGUAGGAAUCUACUCAGUAGUGGGGGACAACUUGGGGAAACCCAAGCUAAUACCGCAUACGCCCUAUGGGGGAAAGCGGGGGACCUUCGGGCCUCGCGCUAUUGGAUGAGCCUGCGUCGGAUUAGCUAGUUGGUGGGGUAAGAGCCCACCAAGGCGACGAUCCGUAGCUGGUCUGAGAGGAUGAUCAGUCACACUGGAACUGAGACACGGUCCAGACUCCUACGGGAGGCAGCAGUGGGGAAUAUUGCGCAAUGGGCGAAAGCCUGACGCAGCCAUGCCGCGUGUGUGAAGAAGGCCUUAGGGUUGUAAAGCACUUUCAAUUGGGAAGAAAAGCUUGUUGUUAAUAGCGACAAGCCCUGACAUUACCUUUAGAGGAAGCACCGGCUAACUCCGUGCCAGCAGCCGCGGUAAUACGGAGGGUGCAAGCGUUAAUCGGAAUUACUGGGCGUAAAGCGCGCGUAGGCGGUUGAUUAAGUCGGAUGUGAAAGCCCUGGGCUUAACCUGGGAACUGCAUUCGAUACUGUUCGACUAGAGUACGAGAGAGGGAGGUAGAAUUCCACGUGUAGCGGUGAAAUGCGUAGAUAUGUGGAGGAAUACCGGUGGCGAAGGCGGCCUCCUGGCUCGAUACUGACGCUGAGGUGCGAAAGCGUGGGGAGCAAA